AACUUUCAGCAACGGAUCUCUUGGCUCUCGCAUCGAUGAAGAACGCAGCGAAAUGCGAUAAGUAAUGUGAAUUGCAGAAUUCAGUGAAUCAUCGAAUCUUUGAACGCACCUUGCGCUCCUCGGUGUUCCGAGGAGCAUGCCUGUUUGAGUGUCA
RNAcentral lists this ribosomal RNA (154 nucleotides) under Perenniporia stipitata. RNAcentral's name for it is "5.8S ribosomal RNA". It matches the Rfam family "5.8S ribosomal RNA". From Rfam's summary of the family: 5.8S ribosomal RNA (5.8S rRNA) is a component of the large subunit of the eukaryotic ribosome. It is transcribed by RNA polymerase I as part of the 45S precursor that also contains 18S and 28S rRNA. The record is from RNAcentral. Lineage: Eukaryota; Fungi; Basidiomycota; Agaricomycetes; Polyporales; Polyporaceae.